AUUGAACGCUGGCGGCAGGCCUAACACAUGCAAGUCGAGCGGAUGAAGGGAGCUUGCUCCUGGUUUCAGCGGCGGACGGGUGAGGAAUGCCUAGGAAUCUCCUUGGUAGUGGGGGAUAACGACCGGAAACGGGCGCUAAUACUGCAUACGUCCUGAUGGAGCAACUGGGGGAUAUUCGGACCUCACGCUAUCAGAUGAGCCUAGGCCGGAUUAGCUAGUUGGUGGGGUAAAGGCCUACCAAGCCGACGAUCCGUAACUGGUCUGAGAGGAGGAUUAGUCACACGGGAGCUGAGACACGGUCCAGGCUCCUACGGGAGGCAGCAGUGGGGAAUAUUGGGCAAUGGGCGAAAGCAUGAACCAGCCGUGCCGCGUGUGUGACGACGGUCUUCGGAUUGUAAUGCACUUUAUGUUGGGAGGAACGGCAGUAGUUUAAUACCUUGCUUUUUUGACGUUACCGGCAGAAUAAGCACCGGCUAACUUCGUG
Molecule: ribosomal RNA, 484 nt
Filed under: uncultured bacterium
Lineage: Bacteria
Description: partial 16S ribosomal RNA
Rfam family: Bacterial small subunit ribosomal RNA
Source: RNAcentral